This 301-nucleotide ribosomal RNA is filed under the name uncultured bacterium. RNAcentral's name for it is "partial 16S ribosomal RNA". It matches the Rfam family "Bacterial small subunit ribosomal RNA", at positions 509 to 807 of the family's 1533-position model. The record is from RNAcentral.
CAGCAGCCGCGGGAAUACGUAGGUGGCAAGCGUUGUCCGGAAUUAUUGGGCGUAAAGGGCUCGCAGGCGGUUUCUUAAGUCUGAUGUGAAAGCCCCCGGCUCAACCGGGGAGGGUCAUUGGAAACUGGGAAACUUGAGUGCAGAAGAGGAGAGUGGAAUUCCACGUGUGGCGGUGAAAUGCGUAGAGAUGUGGAGGAACACCAGUGGCGAAGGCGACUCUCUGGUCUGUAACUGACGCUGAGGAGCGAAAGCGUGGGGAGCGAACAGGAUUAGAUACCCCGGUAGUCCCUGUCUCUUAUAC